CAGGAUGAACGCUAGCUACAGGCUUAACACAUGCAAGUCGAGGGGCAGCGAGAGGAAGCUGCUUCCUGUCGGCGACCGGCGCACGGGUGAGUAACGCGUAUCCAACCUUCCCCAUAGUAGAGGAUAGCCCGGCGAAAGUCGGAUUAAUACUCUAUGUUGUGUCAUGAGGACAUCUGAAUAACACUAAAGAUUUAUCGCUAUGGGAUGGGGAUGCGUCUGAUUAGGUAGUCGGCGGGGUAACGGCCCACCGAGCCGACGAUCAGUAGGGGUUCUGAGAGGAAGGUCCCCCACAUUGGUACUGAGACACGGACCAAACUCCUACGGGAGGCAGCAGUGAGGAAUAUUGGUCAAUGGACGAGAGUCUGAACCAGCCAAGUAGCGUGCAGGGAAUGACUGCCCUAUGGGUUGUAAACUGCUUUUAUGCGGGAAUAAAGUCAGGUACGUGUACCUGUUUGUAUGUACCGCAUGAAUAAGGACCGGCUAAUUCCGUGCCAGCCGCAGC
RNAcentral lists this ribosomal RNA (502 nucleotides) under uncultured bacterium. RNAcentral's name for it is "bacterial SSU rRNA". It matches the Rfam family "Bacterial small subunit ribosomal RNA", at positions 25 to 518 of the family's 1533-position model. The record is from RNAcentral.